Molecule: ribosomal RNA, 250 nt
Filed under: uncultured bacterium
Lineage: Bacteria
Description: partial 16S ribosomal RNA
Rfam family: Bacterial small subunit ribosomal RNA
Source: RNAcentral
CCGGAUCAGUGGCGAACGGGUGAGUAACACGUGGGCAACCUGCCCUUCACUCUGGGAUAACCCCGGGAAACCGGGGCUAAUACCGGAUACGACCCCUGCAGGCAUCUGCGGGGGUGGAAAGUUUUUCGGUGAAGGAUGGGCCCGCGGCCUAUCAGCUUGUUGGUGAGGUAACGGCUCACCAAGGCUACGACGGGUAACCGGCCUGAGAGGGCGAACGGUCACACUGGGACUGAGACACGGCCCAGACUCC